AGGUAGGGAUGAAAGGAGAUAGCAUACUUACUUUGCAUGUGUUGCGAAGUCAAAGCUCGGAUCCUUGAAGAGAAGUGUCAUACUCCCAGAUCAAGAUGUGCAAGUGUGAUAUAUGGUGGACUAGGUUGCUCCUUUAUUUGCUACACUCUCUCUACUUGUAUAUUGAGACAUGGCUAGCAUUUUCUUUUUCUUCGAGCUUUAUGUGCUCAAUUUUUUUUUUGUGGACUUGCACAUGUCCAUCUUUUUAUUUCAUUUUGCCUAGGCUUUUGAUGUCUCAUUUACCAAAUAAUGCUUAGAGAGAGAUAUUCUAACAUUUAGAGUAUGGAGCAACUUAUUUAGUGGAUGCGAAAUACAUGUGGUUGCGUACUUCCAGUGUAGAAGCAGCAUAUAUAUAUGUGGUGUGUACGUGAUCUUGAUCUUAGGAGCAUGAAAAGUCUCUUAACAGGGGUCAACAAGACUUGAUGACACUCAACACAAAGCAAAUAGCUUAUGUGGAAAGGUUGCAAUCAUGUAAAGUAGAUAUAGCUGUGGUAGGAAUUCAUCACCAUUGAGGAACAAUUAAGGGUUUGAUCAUUUUAAGAAUAAAUCUCUGAUAAUCAUGCAUGCUUAGAAUAAUAUUAUAGCAGCUCUUGUCUCACUAUCUCAUGUCCCACAACAACUUAGACUUAGUUCUAGCACUUGCAACCCACAAAGUUUUCAGGUUCAUGGCAGUUUAAGUGAGCUAAGUGAUCCAUACUUGGAGAAAUACUAAGUUGUAUACUAGGUACUAGAGAAACAUUAACAAGCAACUAGUCAUCAUUUCCAUGAGGGAUAUAGACAUACAUGAAGCAUAUAUGCUAAAGGGAAAUGCUAAUUUUUUUUUUAGAGCAAGAAUGAUAAAAUGCAUGGAAAUAAAUAGGAUAGAAUACUUACCUUGGUGGGGGAGAGGAUCUCCCCCAAGCUUGUCUUUCCUCACUGGGGUGGAUACGAUGGAUAUGGUGGAUAUGGUGGAGGAUAUUGCUGUGGAGGAUAUUGUGCAGGAGGAGGUGGAUAUGCAUGUGGUGGUUGAGGAAUGUAUGGUGGUACGGGCAGGUGAUAUGAUGUGUAGGCUUGGCACCAGUUUCUAUUGCU
Molecule: long non-coding RNA, 1110 nt
Filed under: Sorghum bicolor (sorghum)
Lineage: Eukaryota; Viridiplantae; Streptophyta; Magnoliopsida; Poales; Poaceae
Description: long non-coding RNA (SBIC_LNC013650)
Source: RNAcentral